Long non-coding RNA from Strongylocentrotus purpuratus (purple sea urchin), 12102 nucleotides. RefSeq lists it as uncharacterized. The record is from RefSeq and is a predicted model, not a curated record. The transcript has 2 exons. Lineage: Eukaryota; Metazoa; Echinodermata; Echinoidea; Camarodonta; Strongylocentrotidae.
AGUAAUUUUAUAAAUUGGUAUCCUGCUUCAGAACCAUCGUCCUAGGUUUUAAUUAAAGUUCCACUUUUGCUAAGUCAGAGGUGAUCAAAAAUUAUGAAAUAUGCUAUUGUACCCUAUAAAUACACUCAGUGAUUGUACUUGAGAUUUGAAUUGACGUAUUUCUGCUCCACUUUACCCAUUUAUUUUCUUUGUUUCAUUGUUCAAUGCUAAUUGACUAAAAGCAGUGGGGACAACGGGCACAAAUUCCUGACAUACUUUUGGAAAUAUUUGAUACAAAAGUACACGUAACCCGGUAACAGUUACUGUGUCGUUGCGUUCAUUAUACAGUUACGCGUUGAGUGAUUCAUACAGUCUUCUUUGCACUACAUGCAGUCAUAUUUUAGGUCAUACAUUACAAACACUCUUCCUAAAUAAAUAAAAUAUAAAUUCAUGCUUUGGAAAUGCGACUGACUGUAUAGAUGGUAUAUUUACCUAUUAUCUGGUUAAUGUUGAGAGCUCUGUUAAGGGCCUUCUCCAUGCACGAUUCAUUCUCGAGAGGAAUGCAAACAUACCUACUCGAGAUGGAGUACGUCACUACAAUCACGUAAUCAUUGGAACACGUGUCGAAUGGAGAUGUUCACGAGCAAUUGAAAUAUUUCCAUGCGUAUCUAAUGACCACCUUUAACCCUACUGCCACCUGUAAAAAUGAUUCGAAAAUGGGGAGAAUGAAUAGAAUACAUAUGAAUUAUAAUUGUGCGAAAAUGCCACACUUUGCUCCGAGAAUAGAAAUGUGUUUAUUGCAAUAUAGGCGGUAACAAAGAAAACGAAACGUGAAAGGUGUUGCGUCUAGUACCCUCUAGAAGAUUAAUUGCCUUAAUGGCGAGUUAGCGUGAUCAUGCUGUUGUGUUAUCGGAAUGCAAAGUUUUAUUUAUGAAUCCGCGGGAAUGUUUAUCAAUAUUAGAGAAUUAUUCCAGUUGUACUUUGAUAUAUUGGAUCAAGUCUCAUAAUUCUAAUAACAUGAUGCGUGUUCUAGGUUGCCACCAGAGGUUAAACUUAGUUCUGUAACAAUGUCAAGUAAAUGCAGAUAUUCAUUUAUAUCAAAGAAGAGCUUAUUGUGUAAUAUACAAAACAAAACAAUUUCAGACAUCCAUCAAUCCAGGGGCGUUGCUAGCCAAGGUAUUAAAAUAAGGAAUAAAAGCCAAAAGAAUAAGAAAAACGAUUUCCGAUCUUCAAAUAUGCGAUGAACAGGUAAACAAACUAACAAGCAAACAAAAUGGACUAUCGAAACUCAAAAUUGUCGACAAGGCAUUAUGAAAAGAAAAGAUAUUAAGCCCAUUUACAAAGCCCGAAAACUAUUUUGAGGUUCUCUUUCAUUUGAUAUGCCGAUGUGCCUUGGAGAAAAUUUAUGUUUGUCGAUCAUUUUUUCCCGGGGAGGGGGUUCACAUCUCUCCCUUAAAGCGGCGCCCCUACAUAAGUCCCCUUUCAAUCAUCAUUCGAAAAGUCAAUGUGGUGCAGUAGAGUAUAAGGUUAAAUUCCCCAUUUUUUAAAUACCAUAUGUUGGCAUUUGCUAUAUACAGGAACCUGAUUUGGAUGCGAUUAAGUUGUGUUUUUGGAUGACAAUAUCGUCAAGUAUUCCCACUUUUACGGCCAGUUUUUCCUCCAUGCCAAUCGCGAUCUCACCUCAGGCUUCAAUCAUCUCUAUGCGUGUGUGCGCGAGUGUUCAAUUUGUGUGUGUGUGCGUGCGUGUGUGUGUGUGUGUGUAUAGAGUCAUGCCAGAUCCCAGUUCUGUCUAUGUUUUCCUCGGAUACAUGUUUACCCCAAAUCUGCCCGUUUCUUUCUCCUCCCAGGCUACAUCAUCAGUGUAAUGAAGUCCCGCGGCAGGGCUUAGCAACUUAUUACGUUUCCUCCCCCAAUUGAUAUCCAUACUCCGAAUCGAUAAUCUAUGCAAAUAGAACUAUCUGCUGAUUUAAGUUCUCCGAGAUUUUGCUCGCUUUCUCUGAUUUUGUUCUACCCUCCUAUGUAUCGCUCUUGACAAAUGUGGUGAUUCUCCUUCUCUAUGUUUAGCUCAAACGAAGAUGUAUAUUUUUCUUCAUUAUGUGAUUGAUAGGUAGCUUAUAACAGAUGAUUGAAUUAAUUCCUCUUGAUUAUGGUGGAGAAAGUGGAAUUUCACAAUUUGCAUAAUUUCGAUCAAAAUUCAGCAGUUUUCGCCACAGCUGCUUAUAUCUUCGACGAUAAUCCCGAAAUGAAUGCGCGGUAAUCAUUGAAUAUCAAGAAAUCAAACCACUGACUGUUUAACUUUUCACAAACUGAUCUCGAGCAACAGGAAAAACAUGUUAUGAGAAUAAGAAAUGCAGAAAAGAUAACCAAUGCAGAAAUAUUAGGUUAUUAGGAUUACAGGGAGGAGCUGUAUAUGAGAUUAUAUUUAUACGAUUUCUGAUACAUGAAUAAUGUUUCCCGAGUAUUUAUCCCUCUACUCGUGCUUACAUUGUGUACAUUUUCUUAUUCAGGCUUAUUUGUAAAUUAUUUGUGGUAUAUAAAAUAUUUCUCGCUACAAGUCCUUGCAAACCCCUUUUACUAUACAUGCAUAGGCAAUUGAGUAAUGGUGAUUCUAUCAUUGUGUAGUACGCAUAGAUUGUGUCAUAAAUAUUGUGUCAAUAUGCUUCGGGACCUGCCAAUAAUGCAUUUUGAAGAAAUGUGUGCUGUUUUAUAUAGGCAAAACGAAUUUUGUAUGUUUAUCAUUCAAAUAAAAAAAAAAUGAUAUAAUCUUGGACUGUAAUCAGUUCAGGAUUGAAGUAAAUUCUCACUACAUUUGAUAUUUUCUUUGCUUACAUACUAAACUGAUUUUCUUUCCGCCUAUUUUGCAAAUGAACUUUCUGCCGAGCAGAAAAUCAAAUUGGCGACUAACAGUGUUUAGAGGAAGUGUAUGAAAAUAUUGUGAUAUUAGAUGAAAUUCUUGAGGGAAUCCGUGUGAUGGUGUUUCUUUUGGGGGGCCUCGAGUUGCCAGUCUCUUCAGGCAUAGCUCCUGGGGUAACCCGACCGCUUGGUUCGCAGUCAAGAUCGAUACGUAAGCCUCAUUAAAGGGUUUUCAAAAACCGCAGUGGACCCGGGCAGUGCGAUUGCUCCUCCGAAUUACGUUUUUAUUUCAGGCGUACCCCUUGUUUGACGGUUCCCGCUAAUUACGUUAUAACGCGAUUGGAUGUUCGUUAUUGCAUUAUUCGGCGAUUAUUCGUUCAUUUACGCUGAUUAAAGUGCCCGUGUAGGACGUAUUAUGUGACGUUUAAUAGCAUUGGAUUCGCGCGCUGAUUUCCCUGAGGUUUUUGAAGGGGCGCUCCCCCACUCAAACCGCGCAAUCCAUCCGUGUAUACUUGCGCCGACCACGAAACGCAAAGCAGAAACCAACAAGACAUUGCUCCAUGACACUAUUGGAUAAUUUGCCUUUUCAGGGUGUUAUAUCUUUCCGCUGUCCCUUUUUGAUUGUUUCCUUCUUUGUGGCAUUGUGUUACUGAAUAGCUCUCCCUACUGAAUUAGACAGUGUCACGCGGUGUGCAAUCUCUUUAGCUUUAAACGGGCGCGCGCGCAACUCGAGAAAGCUCCCCCGAUGGGACGACGCCACCACAAAGAAUGAAAGGAGGAAACCGCAUCUUCAAAUUAUAAAGCCUCAGUUUUGAUAAUCGAAUUAUCAAGUGUUAAUCCGACUUUUCUCAAUAGUAUGUACUUAGUAUCAUCAAUGCGAAUCAAAACGCCUUUAAGAUUCAAUUAAUUUGCAAUUUCUGGUCUCGGUUUGCUUGCGGGCUGGAGCCUAGCUGCGGGAUUUUACGCAUUAGCUAAUGUAAUUUUCCCUAAGCGUUGCGUCUCUUGGAGGGGGAGUUAAAUCUAAUAAGUCCGUUUCUCGCAUGCAGUGAAACAUAUCGCUUCAGUCGGCAGUUCGUAGUGAGCCUUGUGCCAUGAACCGUUUUGGCUUGAAAUUUAUCCAAUCCGUAGUUGUGAUUAGAAAAAUAAAUUUCAUUCUCUUGUUUUCUGUCGGUCCCUUUCCCCUCACUGCCUAUCAUCACCGUCUUUUUGGUCUGGUUUACUUAUUUCAUAUCUACAGCAGAAAGUGUUUGGAUCAUUUACAUUCAGUUAUGACUUAUUCCUAGGCAUUACUUUGUUGAAUGUCUACCGAGGUAAAUUUGUUUAUGUGAUAAGGUAAAUGAAGAAUUUGCACCGAAUAUAAAAUUCAAGUUCUUCUUAAAGUGAAACAUGAUAAUUUAUGUGUUCACUUUAAGCGCAUAGAUAAACAUAUUUUAAUCUUUAAAAACCAUCAAAAUGUCGGACUAAAGGCCAUGACAAUAACCGGUAUGGGUUUUAGAGAAAAUUGUGCCUUGAAACCCACACUGUUUUUUAAUGCAAAUUGACGUUUUGAGACAUGUUUUGUGAUUAUUGGUAAAGAUGUCCACAAAAUAAUUUACAAACCAUGAUAUUUUAUUUUGAUUACCACUAGAUAAUUAUCACCCCCCUCUCUUGCAAUUUCAGUCAUUUGUAUUUCAAGAGUUUUUUUUCUCUCACAUAUCCCCUACUUAUUGGGCUGUGUGCCGAGUUCAAUAUUUAAACUAAUUAAUGGUGCAAAUUGUUAUAUUAAUACAAAAAUGUUAUUUUUUGGCCAAAAAAUAUCAUAAUUCUUUAUCUGUUUGAUAAGCAGAUCACAGCUUCAUGCCAAAUUAUCCUUACGGCUGCCACACUAAAUUAGACAUAGGGCAAUCAGUCGUAAAUAGAUGGUCUCUUUGUAUCUUGCGAAAUUAAAUAUGCCAUUCAUCAUGUUUAUCAUCCCCCUAAUUGUGUUGUAGAGAGUGGGAUGAAGCCCCAUCUUCUGUCAUAUUCUCCCUCAAUUAUCGCCCGUGGUGCAAGUGUUUUCUAUACCUUUUCUAUUCCCCACCGACUUUGAGAUGAUGUCGAAGAGGGAAAACGGGCGUUACGCGCUCGUUCUCGCAACCAGUGAUGCGCAUAGUUACGGUACAGACACGUGUCAAAGCCUCGCUUUGCAGCUACCGGGCUAGAGAGUUAGAAGGAAAAAAAUGGUGGAACUGUCUUGACUUUAAAAAUACAGUUCUGCUACCAUUGCUUUCUGAGUAAUGGUGUGGUUGCCCACUGAAGAACAACAAUUCAUCACGUGCAUGCUAUUCACGUUUAUAAUGAAGCACGGAUGGAUGAAGUAUGUAUCUCUCGGCACCAGUCUCAUUUAUGAUGUUGCAAAGUUUAUUGGAGAGGCGAUUACGGUGGUUAAUCGGGUUUAAUUUGGGCGCGAUCAACUUGGAAGUUCGGUGACGUUCAUCUUUCUGUUCAGUCUGAGAGCUCUUUGUAGAUUCAGAUUGAGGACCUAAUGUUAAAAGUUUGACAUGGUUCGUGGACAUGAUUAAUAGAACGUGGUAGCGUAUUGUUGUAUAUUUUUUGUGCACGAUUGAAAUUCAAAGGUUUAUGUACAUGCAUAACUAUAUGGGCUCUAACGUUCUACUGUUAUUUUAAUCAACUACAUAACAUACGGAUAAUAUUGACUAAGGAUGAAAUUUAUUCAUCACAGUUGGUUGGUCAAAUUAUGGUGAUGAUUACAGAAAGCGAUCAGUGAAAGAUAAACUCACAGGAAAAUUACGUAAACUCAAUCCAAAAGAAUAUGUUCAGUCAUCAAUGUAUUAAAGAUAUCUUCGGCAAUGUUACGUUUUGGUGUUUUCUGAUUUGUCCGAAGGGAGUGGGAGGGGAUCUUUGAUGUCUUUAAUGGAAUUAUUUAAUUACCUUAUUUUUCUUCAGUUCACUGUAAUGCCCUUUUUAUUAUUUAUUUUGAAGAAAAUCAGAUGAUCGCUAAAACAAGAUUGUUUCCAAGACAACGCAUCCAAUAUAUACGUAUUAUUUGACACAGUGCAAUUGCUCAAAGAAGAGACAAGUUGCACCUAACCACUCAAUCCAAUAAAGAGAUAUGUGGUAUAAUGGACGACAAAAGCUACAGUUGCAUACUAAUUCAUGAUUUUCCUCUCUUUUCAUGAAAUUGAUGUUAUAGAGAGCGACCAUCCGUGACCAAAAUAUUCAAUUGUGUGCGGGUACCCGCGCGGCAGUUGUCAACUUCAAUACUCGGUAGCAAGUGCAGCGUGCCUGCCUGAAAAAUCCCCUGGAAAUGGAAGGAGGAAUGAAUGUUCGAUCUCGUAAUGAUAGCAGGCUUCACAGACAGAGAGAGAGAGAGAGAAAAAAAAGGAUGAUUUGAUAACAAGAAAUUAUAAUAUAUUAUAUAAAACGUAAUAGAAUUUUUGAAGUUUUACUCGAGGAAUUGAUGAAUGAUGCUGACCUUUCUCGCAUACCAGUUAACAAAACGUCUAGUGGUCAAAGUCGCCAAAUUCUCUGGUAAUACACACAAAAAAGUAAAGGCAUUUCUAUUGAUAGUGGAAAAUUAAAAUGCUCUACCUUAUUCUAUAUUUCAUUAAUGUCGUGAAGACAAUGUAAAACAAAAAAUGCAGCUUCAUUCGAAUAAAAUUAUGCUGCCCCUGAUUGUAAAAUAACUCCUACCCCAAAAACGCAUUUAUUCGCCGUUUUUGGCUAUAUUGUGAGAAGAAUUUUAGGGGGAAAAGGGUUUCAUUUAAUUGACUUGGGGAAAUUUCAUCGCUAAACGAUGGCACCAUUAAUUUAUGCGAAUUGCAUAGAUAUUGAUAGCGAAGAAUGAAUUUUAAAUCCACCCCGAAGGAUGUCUAUCAUAAAAAUAUUUGAUUUAUGGAUGUCUUGAGUGCACCAUCACCACGCGUCUCAAAAUCCCUGCUUUGCUUCUUAGCCCAAAUUGAGUCGUCGUUUCUACUCACCUUAUUAAAGGUACGAGCCCGCGAAUUCAAGUGUUCUUGAUGGCAUGCUUGUCAUGGGGAACUGGUAUCAUAAAUAAACAAUAAGUCUAUUAGAUAGGUUGUGAUAUUUUCAACAUGUUGAUGGUGAAUUCUUCCACGAAAUAAUGAUAUUCAAGCGUUUCUAAUUGCUGAUGCUGUAUACAAACAAUUCAACAGAAAGGUUUUUACUUUCACAUGUUCAGUGACAAGUAUCUGUUUUUCUAAAUGAUUGUGAAUACUAUUUUAUUCUUUUAACUAUAUUUUCACUUAAAAUCUCUAAUCACAAACUAAAAAGAUCAUUGAUAUCUUCAGGCUAGUAGAUUAUUGUUUUUUAAACGGAUUAAGCAUCUAAAUCAAGUCUUAUUCAUGAAAGCCGGCACCUAUUAUUAAGAACCAUAAGUCCUUUUUUAUUUUUUUAUUGAUCAAAACAUGAACUUACUACAUCGGGUGAAAUUAACACCAAACUGAUCACCAUCCUUUAAACAGUGGCAUGGCUAGUCAUGUUUCCUUCUAAAUCGGGUCUACUUUAUUUCAAUAUUUGGUACCAUGGUGCUUGAGGCGCACAGACGGCGUAGGAUAAUCCUACCGUGUACUGGAAAUCAGCCCUGAUGGCUUUCCAAACGACGGUGUAUAAGCCGUGACGGAAAAGAGGGUCGAAAAUCGGACGGGGCUGAGGGCGAUUUUUGAGACAAGGAAAGAAGGGGGUGGGAAUGGUAAAGAUGAAAAUUAAGGUUUGAUAAAGACAACGGAAUCUACAUGAAAAUCAAUGCUGCUAUUAAACUAUAUUUCAUCAUCAUGAACGGGUUGGUAGUUGUUUUUAAAUGAGUAUUCAAGAACAUAUACAAUAUUUGUACAGGGGGAAUUGGGAAGGAUAUUAUAAACAUGACCAAUACCGGAUUUGAUAUUAUUUACCAAUCGCAAUUACAAUUAUUAGAUGGUGCUAAGCCGUCCUCUGCAUAAAUAUGUGGCGAUUUGCGAUUGAUGUUGAAGGAAACAAGGUGUAUUUCAUAUUCAAAUUAAUUUAAUUUAGUUUAUUUAUUUUAAAGUCCAUUUCAAAGUACUUUAAAAUCUUUUAAAAAAUUUCUAUGACAGAUUAGUAUAUUUCCAUUUCUUUGUUCAUUUGUGUCGUUUUUGUGACAGUUUUGAAUAUUAACAUGUAUACGAAUGGGAGAAAAAAUGUAACAAAGAAUUUGAUAAAAAGAUAAUUGAAUACAUUAAUCAGACCUGCAGAAAUUAGAAUUAUCCACUCGGUUGCACUUGGAAUGGUAGGUCGUUCUGUGCAAUCACUUCUACCAAUUAGUCAAAAAAUAUUUAUCCUCACAAAUGGACUAAUACACUUAAUUUGGGUGUUCGGUUGUUCCCCCGUUCCUCAAGUUUAAAGACCUAUUCACUCGAUGUCACAAACCAAAAAUAUAAUUGACUUUAUACAUGGUUUAUCUGCCUUAAGAGCGAGAGGGGUAACUCCGUAUACAUUUCAUUUCGAGGUUCCGCGGGGGGACUGAAGAGUUGAACGGUAUUCAUAAAUCAAACGCCGUGAUCGCAUUAGCUCUCUGAAGGGAACGGGGGAUUAAAAUACAGAUCUGGCAGUAAUGAAUUUGAUUAAUGUUUCGACACAACUGUAAGAAAACAAAAGAUAUCAAAAUGCUACCAAGUCGACCUAACUUUUAGUAAUUACGGAUAUAAAUCUGUUUUCGUAAUUGUAGCAGAAAAUAGCAAAAUAUAAAACUAUCAAUCAUGAAGAAAGACUAUAAUUGAAUCCAGAUAGUUUUCAAUUUCUUUUGCUCUGGCCAGAUGGAAAAUAAUAUUCUACAUUUUAUUUAUUUCAAAGGGAUUUCGCAUUGUGCUGGUGAGUGUAUGUAGAGCCAGAUGUGUAUUUUGAUAUGUUACGAAUAUGAAGUUCGAAGUACCAUAUUUUACGACAUUAAGGUGAGAAUGGAACCGUUAACACGAAUGUCAAGUACAUUAUACAGCGGAGCGGAACAUGGGCAUUUCUUUGUCCAUGUAUCGGUUAAAUAUUGAAAAGUUCAUAUUAAAGAUACGUCUAUUAAUAUUGAAAGCUUUCUAAAACAAAUUUAUGAAAAGAAAAAGAAGUUCAGAUAUUUGGGCGUGCAACAUUUCGAAUAUAUAUUAUUUGCAGGUUGAUCCUCUCAUUUUAAGAAUCAAGAAUAAUGAAGCUGCUUUUCAUCAAUAAUGCUGCUUGUCUUAGUUCUUUCCAAAAAAAUAAUUUUCCACACGCCACGAGUUUUUAUUGUCUUCUAAUUCGUCAUGACAGACGAAGAUUAAUUCUUUACGAGUGACGCCAGCACCAUCACACAAAACUGCAUCUUCGAACAAUGAGGGGAUGUGGAGUUGCUCCGAGUUGAUAAAUUUCCGUGUAAACGAUACCGUGAAAUUAAUUUUCGCAUUUUGACAGUGAAGAGCUACAGCGGUUCAUUUUGGUGUAAUUGAUGCCGCCAUAUCAUUUUAACUUGAGCGGUGAAGAAUUUGAGCUUCUUAGAUCUGACAUACUGUCGUAAUUUCCUUUCACUGUGUAGCUUCAAACUCUCUAUCUUCCUCGCAUGAUUUAUAUUCUUUUUCUUUUCUGAUUGUUAUUGGAGGCCAGAAUUGAAAGGGAUAAUGAUCUUCAAAACAAAACGAUGAAAGGCACCGUCAGCUGUAUACCUCUUCUUGAAAUCAGCAGCUUUCCUUUUAACGAAGUUAUGGGUUUAAAUGUUAGAGUAUCGACAAUAUCAAGUGUCUGCAAAUAUUGUAAUGACAAAAUCAACAUCUUAUAAGAUAAUCAUCUUGAAUUCCUUUCUGAGAAACUGCGAUGAUAAACUCAUCCGUGGAGUGGACAUUUGACGAUAUUUGCAUUGCCUUGCGUCUUAAGUGCCACACUCGUCUUACUCACGUGUACCUGGGUAUUAUAAGCACAUUUACUCCCUUACAAACGGAUAAAAUGAUAUACCAAAAGGGCGAUCAUGCAUUGAGAUGCAUGCUGCAUUUUUUCUCUCCCAUACAUCAAAUUGGAUUUUCAACUCGGGCCGAAAUAAUCGGUUUAGUCAGCCAAACGUUUUUGCCACUCCGUGAGCGAGCUGUGAAUUAAUGAAGAAGUCUAGUCCCAUUCUCUCAGCGUCGUUGUCAUCCGUGAAAAUGAUUACUUUUACAGCCUACCAAUGCGGUGGUGUGGCAAUGGCAUUGCAAGGUCAAAAAAGCAACAAUAUUUUUCAUAAUCGGGAUGAUGUCUCGAGCAAUAACAGUAAUAUUCUCAUUUUUGUAAUCUAAUUGCUUUGUACAAUCGUACUGUAUUUGAACCUUUUCUUUAGAGAAUGCCAAAUGAAUGAGUAACAUUGUCACCUUAUGCGAUGACCUGUCCAGCUGUAGCUCAGAUAUUUGAAACACAUUCUUUAAAUAUUCUUUACAAAUUGUAGAUAUAUAUACCAACAUAAAAGGUUCGAAGAUCACUCUCUUGUCAUUCAGAUUUAGAUAUCCUAAUUUUACAAUAAUUCAAAUAUGUCGCCCAAAAUGCACGGUUUCAAAUUUAAUCAAAAUAUGAAAUGUUUACCUCUUUUUCUCUUCCUAUCAAUGAAAUUGAAAAUGUUUCCUGAGAACACACAUAAUGGGAAAAAUCGUAACUCUGCCAAAAUGCAAAAAUAAAUAAAAGUUGUUCUCCUUGCAUACCUUUAGGCAGGUAGCUACCAUGACAUACCUGCAGCAGUAGAUGCUGCUGCAUGAGGCCAGUCUAUUAAACUAAGAAUCAGGGGUUGAAUGAACGAGAAGACUUGGUUAAGAGUGGUUUACGGGGAGAGGGUAUAUCAUGCCAAUUUAGGGGAUCAAUGGCUAAUAAAUGAAUGGGAUAAUGGAAAGAGACGGGUAUUCAAAUGAGCUGAGGUGACUGUGAGUGGUAGAAAUGACAUCCAGGAUCCAGAGUUCCUUUGAUGGAUACAGACUUUAAGGAAAAAAGGGGGAAAGGGGGUAUAGAAAAGGAAUCUGACCAGGCCUGUUUGUUAGACAUUCAUAGAUGUGAUACUCUUUUAUCAUUCAUUUUUCGAAUAUUAAUUUUUUAAUACGGUAAUCAUGCGCGAAUAUGUUUUAAAAGAUUCCGAAUCGGUCAAUUGAUAUUUUUUGUCACGCGCAAACACAUUUAACUUUAAUAUUUCCGAUUUUUCAUGAAUAGAAAGGUAUUCUAAAUUGGUAUCUUAUGUUCCAUCGUCUUCAGACUUCAGAUUGUAAUUCGGGCCUUUUUUUUCUUUUUCAAUAAUCACCUGAAGAUUGUCAAAAUGGGUUAUUGUCGGUGAUUGCAGACUGUUAGUCGUUCUGCCACACAAACUGCUAUACACAUCAUGAAGAUGAUUCAAUUUGAAAUAAGCAAUAUUCUAUUGUUUUUCCUAAUAAUUUUAGAUACAAAUGAUGUACUCUGGUUUAAAUAAAUGAAAUGAACAUGAAUCUUAACAUUAUACAAUUGUUCUAAAACCUUUCCAUGGAAUUACCAGUUUCUGCAUAAAACCCAGUAUGGUACAGCCAUGCUUAGCAUUUCCCAUCUUAGAUAAACAAAAAGGAGGUUUGACACACCUUCAUGUGUCGUUGGACCCUUAUUUGCUAAUGUGCAAUAUUUUGCAUUGAAUUCAUCAAGCCUUUUAUAUUUAAUCGGGCUUGAGUUGGUUCGUAAUAAUAUACGGCGAUGAUGUCUUGGUAACGGAAUUACCCAUGACAAGAAGCAAAGUGGGUAUAAUUGGGGAGACGCGUGCCGUUUAUGAAGACAUCAACGAAACAUUUCCACAACGUCCCAACAACGCGUUCCUUAUAACCUGAUGCUAUCCAGAACCUGGUCACAGUCAGAAGGGUGUUGAAUCAAAAUAUUUGCUUGUACAUAGAGCGAACGCCCUUAGGCGCUCAAGCAGUCGAGAUACCUUCACAGGUUCUUUUCGGGUCCAUACAUCUUAGGGUCUUCCUGUUUAGUCAUAUACUGCUCUUUUUUUACCUCUUGAAAUACAAUGAUUUAGAGAAAAUUGUAGAAUAUAAUCCAAUCUUAAAAUGCAUGCCUGAAAGGGAGAACAUGAUUAAGCGAAGUACGUAAUUUAUUUCAUUAACCUCAUCUUGCAAAGAUUUGUUACGUACUUAUUACCCGUCCCUGUUGCUUUCAGACUAAUCCAAUACAAUUUCAAGUGUUUUUCUUCUUCUCCUGCUUCGAGACUGCUCUGUCAAUGUUUAUCUUCCAAGAUAUUGAGUAUAUUGUUUUGUGGAGAGCGAGGAGAGCCCAUUUUCGUUACCCGCUCGAAAUUGGCCGUAUGCGUUGGGAUGCACAGCGCCAUAA